GUGUAAGAUACGCCUUUCUCCUUCUACCAUGAGUGUGAGGCCUCCACAGCCACAUGGAACUGUGAGAAACUGGUGCUCUCAGAGAGCGUAUGAGUGGCCCAAUGUCACACUACCUCUGGGUGUGUGCAUGUGGAGCCAGGAUUUGAUCCUGGGCAGAUCAAACCCCAAGUGCCACCAGGUGCAGUCGAUCACAUGCUGACCCCCCACUUUACUGAUGAGAAAACUGAGACCUAGAGAGGUUGAGUAACCUGUCCAAGACACCUGGAUGAUAAGCCGGACCCAGCCAACAAGCCCAGCCAGCUUGAUGCCAGAAUCCUCUUACCUGACCUCUGUGCCUGCCAUCCCAGCUGCUAGAGUGGAGAGCCGGCCUUUCCUCGCUGCAGGAUGGACCCUAGGCCUCUCUCUGGGUUUCCAGAUCCUGCUCUGAAGAGCCGGCCUUUCCUCGCUGCAGGAUGGACCCUAGGCGUCUCUCUGGGUUUCCAGAUCCUGCUCUGGAGAGCCGGCCUUUCCUCGCUGCAGGAUGGACCCUAGGCGUCUCUCUGGGUUUCCAGAUCCUGCUCUGGAGAGCCGGCCUUUCCUCGCUGCAGGAUGGACCCUAGGCGUCUCUCUGGGUUUCCAGAUCCUGCUCUGGAGAGCCGGCCUUUCCUCGCUGCAGGAUGGACCCUAGGCCUCUCUCUGGGUUUCCAGAUCCUGCUCUGGAGAGCCGGCCUUUCCUCGCUGCAGGAUGGACCCUAGGCGUCUCUCUGGGUUUCCAGAUCCUGCUCUGAAGAUGAGGAGAUGACAUUUAGCACCAGCCUUCUCUAACUGGCUCUAAGAGGAAUCGGUGUUCCCUGGUGGUUCAGGAGUCAAAAGGGCCAACUGUAGCUUUAUUCCUCUUUCAAAGGAAAUAAAGCAGAGGUCCUAUUUGGGGAUAGGCCCUAUGCCUGAGUUACUUUGGCACUUAAUUGCUAUUAUUUAAUUGCUGUAUUGGGGAGCACAAAGUGAUCUACUGCAAAGUUAUUAGCAAAUUCUAGUUUUAAGGAAAUAAUUACUGAAUUCUCCCUCCCUGGGUUGAGUAAUUCCUUCCAAGAUGCUCAGCGACAUUAAGCAUUUUCACUAGGGCCACUAGCAGCUCUGUAAUAUGCAAAUAAAGUAACUCUGUAAUUACCAAUAAAAUGCUUACUGAAG
This 1167-nucleotide long non-coding RNA is filed under the name Homo sapiens (human). RNAcentral describes it as "LHRI_LNC7.1". The record is from RNAcentral. Lineage: Eukaryota; Metazoa; Chordata; Mammalia; Primates; Hominidae.